GGUCAAGCUACAAAGGGCGCAUGGUGAAUGCCUUGGCAUCAGGAGCCGAUGAAGGACGUGAUAAGCUGCGAUAAGCUUCGGGUAGGCGCACAUAGCCUGAGAUCCGAAGAUCUCCGAAUGAGGAAACUCACAUGGGAAACCCCAUGUAUCAUUAAGUGAAUACAUAGCUUAAUGAAGGUAACCCAGGGAACUGAAACAUCUAAGUACCUGGAGGAAGAGAAAGAAAAAUCGAUUUUCUUAGUAGCGGCGAGCGAAAGGGAAAGAGCCCAAACCGGAAACUUGUUUCCGGGGUUGUGGACAUAGCAUGAAAGUGGAGGCUAUUGUAACUGAAGAGAACUGGAAAGUUCCACCGUAGAAGGUAAUAGUCCUGUAAGUGAAACGAGAAGACCACGAGUUAUGAUCCAGAGUACCACGAGACACGUGAAACCUUGUGGGAAGCAGGGAGGACCACCUCCCAAGGCUAAAUACUACCUGAUGACCGAUAGUG
RNAcentral lists this ribosomal RNA (487 nucleotides) under Clostridium perfringens. Its description in RNAcentral is "partial 23S ribosomal RNA". It matches the Rfam family "Bacterial large subunit ribosomal RNA", at positions 1 to 492 of the family's 2925-position model. Lineage: Bacteria; Bacillati; Bacillota; Clostridia; Eubacteriales; Clostridiaceae. The record is from RNAcentral.